Molecule: unclassified non-coding RNA, 1519 nt
Filed under: Zea mays
Lineage: Eukaryota; Viridiplantae; Streptophyta; Magnoliopsida; Poales; Poaceae
Description: misc RNA Zm00001eb171730
Source: RNAcentral
CACCAGGGCCAGCUCGACCUCCUCUAUUUGGGCACGUCAUCUCCUCUAUCCCCACGCGUCUCCUGCUCUAUGUUUCCAAAGCCAAGCGCUCUUUCUCCAUGCCGCUCAGCCUCCUCUCUGUUUCAGUCGUGGAGCAUCAGCAAUCCACAUCAUCUCCGUUGGCCGAGCGGUUCCCUCGCGGCGCCCAGGAUCCUUCCCAGACGCGCUCGGCUCCCUGGUCUGUCUGUCACCUUGCCGACGCCUCCUCUGCUCCUCCACCUGUAGCUCGCCCCUAUCUCCUCCUCUCCCCAUGGCGGCUCCCCCUGGAUCCCUCCCUGCGCGAACCCUCUCCUGCAGCACGCCAGUGCCGACCACAAUCUCCCAUGGCGCAGGAGCUCCCCAUUCUCCUCUUGCUAGGGCGCCGUCGCUGGGCUCGCCCAGUCUCUCGCUUUCUCUGCUCCAGCAGCAACCGUCUCAAGGUAUUCCAGUUCGUGAGCAGCAGCAAUCGAUAUAGCUCCUCCGCACCGUGGCGCAGCCAGCCGUCGAUGCCAUGUCCCUGCAACCUCGUGUCGUCGUCGUGCCCGCCUUGAUUAGGUGGAGAAGAAGGUUCAGUUCAACACUCCCUAAGUGUUCGAUGAUAUGCUCCGGUGGCCAUCGUCGUUCUUGCAAAAAAAUCAAGUCGGAUCAUGAUGUGGUACGUUAAUUGAUCACGGAGUGGGAGAACAAGAGCUGAGUUGAUCUCAAGGGAUACUGAUGAAUGAACUUGAAGAUUUGCGUGAUCGAAUCAAGCGCCAGGAUAAGAGAUGCUCCCCAAGCGGACGUCAUCUAACAACACUGACUUAGUGUUAUCUCAGGAAGCCUGCGCCUGGGGAGCCACCAGCAGCACCCGCCGACUCUGAAGCUCAGUUCCUCUCAGGAGACGACGGCGAUGAACACGGGCAGGCCGACGACGAGGAUGGAUGUGGAGGUGAACGACUACCAACCGUUGGGCCCCAACAACCGCCACGAUCCACCCAUUUUGGCCAUUUCCUUGUUCAAAGGAUCUACGCCCUCGCGACAUGCUUGGAGGUUUCAGACUUCCAGGUGCUUACUGAUAUUUCACCACGCGCCCAGUAGUACGAAGCAACUGAUCCCGCAACCACAGUUUAAGAGCAUGUGAGAAUGAAUUGAGUCACCCAGUAGCAACCAAAUAAGUGGAAUAGAAUGGCAAUGCUGAUAUGAGGGGUGUAAUGGAUGUUGUAGUCACAAUUUACUUUUCCCAGCUUCAGAUCAUAUGAACAACAAUCAGUAUUGCAAUCAUUUCGGACAACUUGACCAGAGCUGAAGAGAUGGAGUGUAGCAGAAAACCAGAACAUAUAAAAGAUAGAAAGGAUCAGGCACAACAAAAGUGGAAAAGCUAUCAUUGCCUGAACUUCACCAAUGACCUUUGCAGCAACCUGAAGCCAUGCGUAAUGGUUAUUGGUAGGAGCUACCAGCUAUCACAUUCAAAAUAUAGAGAUGAUUAUUAAUGCCCCUAUGCAAUACUUGUCAUGUAUCCAAC